GGCCGACUAGCUCAGUUGGUUAGAGCGUCGUGCUAAUACCAACUUCUGGUACGCGAAGGUCUUGGGUUCGAUCCCCACGUUGGCCA
Molecule: transfer RNA, 86 nt
Filed under: Suillus bovinus
Lineage: Eukaryota; Fungi; Basidiomycota; Agaricomycetes; Boletales; Suillaceae
Also listed under: 1 other name
Description: tRNA-Ile
Rfam family: tRNA
About the family: Transfer RNA (tRNA) molecules are approximately 80 nucleotides in length. Their secondary structure includes four short double-helical elements and three loops (D, anti-codon, and T loops).
Source: RNAcentral